AAAAACUAUAGAAAAGAGUUAGGGUCCUCGGCGGCGCCCUGUUAUGGGCGUCUGUUCCCGCCGAGGCAACGUUAGGUAUGUUCACAGGGUUGUGAGUUGUAUAACUCGGUCCGAUUCCGUUGGGUGAACCAGCGGAGGGAUCAUUA
This 146-nucleotide ribosomal RNA is filed under the name Fusarium sp. KC-2010ba. RNAcentral's name for it is "partial 18S ribosomal RNA". Lineage: Eukaryota; Fungi; Ascomycota; Sordariomycetes; Hypocreales; Nectriaceae. The record is from RNAcentral.